GCCGAUUUAGCUCAGUUGGUAGAGUAAGGCACUCGUAACGCGUAUGUCAUAGGUUCAAGCCCUGAAAUCGGCA
RNAcentral lists this transfer RNA (73 nucleotides) under Streptococcus infantis. RNAcentral's name for it is "tRNA-Thr(cgt)". It matches the Rfam family "tRNA". Rfam says of the family: Transfer RNA (tRNA) molecules are approximately 80 nucleotides in length. Their secondary structure includes four short double-helical elements and three loops (D, anti-codon, and T loops). Further hydrogen bonds mediate the characteristic L-shaped molecular structure. tRNAs have two regions of fundamental functional importance: the anti-codon, which is responsible for specific mRNA codon recognition, and the 3' end, to which the tRNAs corresponding amino acid is attached (by aminoacyl-tRNA synthetases). tRNAs cope with the degeneracy of the genetic code in two manners: having more than one tRNA (with a specific anti-codon) for a particular amino acid; and 'wobble' base-pairing, i.e. permitting non-standard base-pairing at the 3rd anti-codon position. RNAcentral also lists the same sequence under 1 other name. Lineage: Bacteria; Bacillati; Bacillota; Bacilli; Lactobacillales; Streptococcaceae. The record is from RNAcentral.